GCUGGCGGCAUGCUUAACACAUGCAAGUCGAACGGUAACAGCGGGAGCUUGCUCCCGGCUGACGAGUGGCGGACGGGUGAGUAAUGCAUAGGAAUCUGCCCAGUAGUGGGGGACAACCUGGGGAAACUCAGGCUAAUACCGCAUACGCCCUACGGGGGAAAGGCUUCGGCCGCUAUUGGAUGAGCCUAUGUCUGAUUAGCUUGUUGGUAGGGUAACGGCCUACCAAGGCGACGAUCAGUAGCUGGUCUGAGAGGACGAUCAGCCACACUGGGACUGAGACACGGCCCAGACUCCUACGGGAGGCAGCAGUGGGGAAUAUUGCACAAUGGGCGAAAGCCUGAUGCAGCAAUGCCGCGUGUGUGAAGAAGGCCUGCGGGUUGUAAAGCACUUUCAGUGGGGAGGAUUAUGACGUUACCCACAGAAGAAGCACCGGCUAACUCUGUGCCAGCAGCCGCGGUAAUACAGAGGGUGCGAGCGUUAAUCGGAAUUACUGGGCGUAAAGCGCGCGUAGGCGGCUUGGUCAGUCGGAUGUGAAAGCCCCGGGCUUAACCUGGGAAUUGCAUUCGAUACUGUCAGGCUAGAGUGUAGUA
RNAcentral lists this ribosomal RNA (590 nucleotides) under uncultured Gammaproteobacteria bacterium. RNAcentral describes it as "bacterial SSU rRNA". It matches the Rfam family "Bacterial small subunit ribosomal RNA", at positions 35 to 653 of the family's 1533-position model. Lineage: Bacteria; Pseudomonadati; Pseudomonadota; Gammaproteobacteria. The record is from RNAcentral.